UACGAGGGGGGCGAGCGUUGUUCGGAAUUAUUGGGCGUAAAGGGUGCGUAGGCGGUUCCGCAAGUCCUGUGUGAAAUCUUCGGGCUCAACUCGAAGUCUGCACGGGAAACUGCGGGGCUUGAGUGUGGGAGAGGUGAGUGGAAUUCCCGGUGUAGCGGUGAAAUGCGUAGAUAUCGGGGGGAACACCUGUGGCGAAAGCGGCUCACUGGACCAUAACUGACGCUGAUGCACGAAAGCUGGGGGAGCAAACAGG
Molecule: ribosomal RNA, 253 nt
Filed under: uncultured bacterium
Lineage: Bacteria
Description: partial 16S ribosomal RNA
Rfam family: Bacterial small subunit ribosomal RNA
Source: RNAcentral